GGGCAAACUCGAUCACCAACUCUGCACGUUGUUGCAGAAGUGAGGGGAACAAGAUUUGCUAAAGUAAUUGUAGUGAUAGACAUGUGUUAACCUCAGAAGCUACUAAGGUGGUAUAUUCUAUACAGUGUAAAAAA
Molecule: small nucleolar RNA, 134 nt
Organism: Pteronotus mesoamericanus
Lineage: Eukaryota; Metazoa; Chordata; Mammalia; Chiroptera; Mormoopidae
Source: RefSeq, a predicted model, not a curated record